RNAcentral lists this ribosomal RNA (468 nucleotides) under uncultured bacterium. RNAcentral's name for it is "partial 16S ribosomal RNA". It matches the Rfam family "Bacterial small subunit ribosomal RNA", at positions 28 to 507 of the family's 1533-position model. The record is from RNAcentral.
GACGAACGCUGGCGGCGUGCUUAACACAUGCAAGUCGAACGGAAGGGCCCUGCUUUUGUGGGGUGCUCGAGUGGCGAACGGGUGAGUAACACGUGAGUAACCUGCCCUUGACUUUGGGAUAACUUCAGGAAACUGGGGCUAAUACCGGAUAGGAGCUCCUGCUGCAUGGUGGGGGUUGGAAAGUUUCGGCGGUGGGGGAUGGACUCGCGGCUUAUCAGCUUGUUGGUGGGGUAGUGGCUUACCAAGGCUUUGACGGGUAGCCGGCCUGAGAGGGUGACCGGCCACAUUGGGACUGAGAUACGGCCCAGACUCCUACGGGAGGCAGCAGUGGGGAAUAUUGCACAAUGGGCGGAAGCCUGAUGCAGCAACGCCGCGUGCGGGAUGACGGCCUUCGGGUUGUAAACCGCUUUCGCCUGUGACGAAGCGUGAGUGACGGUAAUGGGUAAAGAAGCACCGGCUAACUACGUG